ACUUGUACUGUGAAACUGCGAAUGGCUCAUUAAAUCAGUUAUCGUUUAUUUGAUAGUACCUUACUACAUGGAUACCUGUGGUAAUUCUAGAGCUAAUACAUGCUAAAAACCCCGACUUCAGGAAGGGGUGUAUUUAUUAGAUAAAAAACCAACGCCCUUCGGGGCUCCUUGGUGAAUCAUAAUAACUUAACGAAUCGCAUGGCCUUGCGCCGGCGAUGGUUCAUUCAAAUUUCUGCCCUAUCAACUUUCGAUGGUAGGAUAGUGGCCUACCAUGGUGGCAACGGGUAACGGGGAAUUAGGGUUCGAUUCCGGAGAGGGAGCCUGAGAAACGGCUACCACAUCCAAGGAAGGCAGCAGGCGCGCAAAUUACCCAAUCCCGAUACGGGGAGGUAGUGACAAUAAAUACUGAUACGGGGCUCUUUUGGGUCUCGUAAUUGGAAUGAGAACAAUUUAAAUCCCUUAACGAGGAACAAUUGGAGGGCAAGUCUGGUGCCAGCAGCCGCGGUAAUUCCAGCUCCAAUAGCGUAUAUUAAAGUUGUUGCAGUUAAAAAGCUCGUAGUUGAACCUUGGGUCUGGCUGGCCGGUCCGCCUCACCGCGAGUACUGGUCCGGCUGGACCUUUCCUUCUGGGGAACCUCAUGGCCUUCACUGGCUGUGGGGGGAACCAGGACUUUUACUGUGAAAAAAUUAGAGUGUUCAAAGCAGGCCUUUGCUCGAAUACAUUAGCAUGGAAUAAUAGAAUAGGACGUGUGGUUCUAUUUUGUUGGUUUCUAGGACCGCCGUAAUGAUUAAUAGGGAUAGUCGGGGGCGUCAGUAUUCAGCUGUCAGAGGUGAAAUUCUUGGAUUUGCUGAAGACUAACUACUGCGAAAGCAUUCGCCAAGGAUGUUUUCAUUAAUCAGGGAACGAAAGUUAGGGGAUCGAAGACGAUCAGAUACCGUCGUAGUCUUAACCAUAAACUAUGCCGACUAGGGAUCGGACGGGAUUCUAUGAUGACCCGUUCGGCACCUUACGAGAAAUCAAAGUUUUGGGU
Molecule: ribosomal RNA, 1030 nt
Filed under: Penicillium spinulosum
Lineage: Eukaryota; Fungi; Ascomycota; Eurotiomycetes; Eurotiales; Aspergillaceae
Description: SSU rRNA
Rfam family: Eukaryotic small subunit ribosomal RNA
Source: RNAcentral